GUGAGUAACGCGUGGGAAUCUACCUAGCUCUACGGAAUAACUCAGGGAAACUUGAACUAAUACCGUAUACGCCCUUUGGGGGAAAGAUUUAUCGGAGUUGGAUGAGCCCGCGUCUGAUUAGCUAGUUGGUGGGGUAAAGGCCUACCAAGGCGACGAUCAGUAGCUGGUCUGAGAGGAUGAUCAGCCACACUGGGACUGAGACACGGCCCAGACUCCUACGGGAGGCAGCAGUGGGGAAUAUUGGACAAUGGGCGCAAGCCUGAUCCAGCCAUGCCGCGUGAGUGAUGAAGGCCCUAGGGUUGUAAAGCUCUUUCACCGGUGAAGAUAAUGACGGUAACCGGAGAAGAAGCCCCGGCUAACUUCGUGCCAGCAGCCGCGGUAAUACGAAGGGGGCUAGCGUUGUUCGGAAUUACUGGGCGUAAAGCGCACGUAGGCGGACCAUUAAGUCAGGGGUGAAAUCCCGGGGCUCAACCCCGGAACUGCCUUUGAUACUGGUGGUCUCGAGUUCGAGAGAGGUGAGUGGAAUUCCGAGUGUAGAGGUGAAAUUCGUAGAUAUUCGGAGGAACACCAGUGGCGAAGGCGGCUCACUGGCUCGAUACUGACGCUGAG
RNAcentral lists this ribosomal RNA (609 nucleotides) under Nitratireductor indicus C115. Its description in RNAcentral is "bacterial SSU rRNA". It matches the Rfam family "Bacterial small subunit ribosomal RNA", at positions 106 to 750 of the family's 1533-position model. Lineage: Bacteria; Pseudomonadati; Pseudomonadota; Alphaproteobacteria; Hyphomicrobiales; Phyllobacteriaceae. The record is from RNAcentral.